GACGAACGCUGGCGGCGCGCUUAACACAUGCAAGUCGAGCGAUCGGCCAGGGGCUUGCCCCUGGUGCGGAGCGGCGAACGGGUGAGUAUCACGUGGGUGACCAACCCUCGGUUUCGGGAUAACUCCGGGAAACCGGUGCUAAUACCGAAUGGCCUCCCAGGUUCUAGGGCUUGGGAGAAAAGGUAGCUUCGGCCUCCGACCGAGGACGGGCCCGCGGCCGAUUAGCUUGUUGGUGGGGUAAUGGCCCACCAAGGCGACGAUCGGUAGCUGGUGUGAGAGCAUGACCAGCCACACUGGGACUGAGACACGGCCCAGACUCCUACGGGAGGCAGCAGUGGGGAAUCUUGCGCAAUGGGCGAAAGCCUGACGCAGCGACGCCGCGUGCGGGAAGAAGGCCUUCGGGUUGUAAACCGCUUUCAGGAGGGACGAAGCCACUCGGGUUAAUAGCCCAGAGGGUGACGGUACCUCCAGAAGAAGCCCCGGCUAACUACGUGCCAGCAGCCGCCGUAAAAC
This 513-nucleotide ribosomal RNA is filed under the name uncultured bacterium. Its description in RNAcentral is "bacterial SSU rRNA". It matches the Rfam family "Bacterial small subunit ribosomal RNA", at positions 28 to 526 of the family's 1533-position model. The record is from RNAcentral.